Empidonax traillii (willow flycatcher) is the source of this 655-nucleotide long non-coding RNA. RefSeq lists it as uncharacterized. The record is from RefSeq and is a predicted model, not a curated record. The transcript is spliced from 4 exons. NCBI's taxonomy places the organism in Eukaryota, Metazoa, Chordata, Aves, Passeriformes, Tyrannidae.
UGCGCAGCGGGCAGCGCCUGGCCGGAGGCUGCAAGCACCCCAGUGGGCAUCUACCUGCCCAGGCCACCCACAGCCCCUCCUCUGGGGGUGGUGGGAUGGUUCAGGGCACCGCAGCAGCUCAGCUGUGUCCCAUGUGCCAGCCCCAGCAGAUCUCCUCUGGGACGUGGCUGUUGCCUCGUGCCAAAAUCCCCUGACUAUCUGACUGCACGGCUCUCACACAAAUUGGACAGGCUCAGUUAGAGCAAAGCAGCCCUAGUCUGAGCUUCUCACACAGUGCUGGAAUGAGGACUCCUGGGCAGGCAGUGAUGAGUCCUGCCUCCUCUCACUGAGGAUGUUCAAGUCAAGUCCCCAGGCCCCUGCAGCUACAAUGGGCAUGAGUUACAUGAAAUGCCCACGCACAUGCAACCUCUGCUUGCAGGACAGAAAUCCUCUCUGAAACACGCAAUCCAGUACACCUUGUUGGCAGCAGUCAUUGCAGACCUUCCCCUCUCCCUCCCUUGGGAUUUCGGAUCUGAAAACUCUGCCAACACACAGCAAGAUGAGCCCCUCAUCGCCAGCUGUGCCCUCCUGCCCCAAGCACAGUGGCAGGAACGCCCGUGGGACAGCCGUGCAGGAGUGCUCCAUCCAGCUUGGCCUCGCCCGUUGCUAAGUGAUG